Molecule: ribosomal RNA, 595 nt
Filed under: uncultured crenarchaeote
Lineage: Archaea; Thermoproteati; Thermoproteota
Description: bacterial SSU rRNA
Rfam family: Archaeal small subunit ribosomal RNA
Source: RNAcentral
AGCCCGGAGAUGGACACUGAGACAAGGGUCCAGGCCCUAAGGGGCGCAGCAACCGCGAAACCUCCACGAUGCACUCACGUGCGAUGGGGCUAUCUCGAGUGCCACCUGAUGAAGGUGGCUUUUCCUUGGUCUUCAAAGCCUUGGGAAUAAGAGGGGGGCAAGACUGGUGUCAGCCGCCGCGGUAACACCAGCCCCUCGAGUGGUGGGGAUGAUUAUUUGGCCUAAAGCGUCCGUAGCCGGCCGAGCAAGUCUUCCGUUAAAUCCAGCGUCUCAAGCGUUGGACCGCGGGAGAUACUACACGGCUAGAGAGUGGGAGAGGUCAGCGGUAUUCUGGGGGUAGGGGCGAAAUCCUUUGAUCCCCGGAGGACCACCAGUGGCGAAGGCUGCUGACUAGAACACGUCUGACGGUCAGGGACGAAAGCUGGGGUAGCGAACCGGAUUAGAUACCCGGGUAGUCCCAGCCGUAAACGAUGCAUGCUAGGUGUUGGGUUGGCCACGAGCCACCCCAGUGCCGCAGGGAAGCCGUUAAGCAUGCCGCCUGGGAAGUACGAUCGCAAGAUUGAAACUUAAAGGAAUUGGCGGGGGAGCACAAUCG